AACGAACGCUGGCGGCAUGCCUAACACAUGCAAGUCGAACGAGACCUUCGGGUCUAGUGGCGAACGGGUGCGUAACGCGUGGGAACCUGCCCUUAGGCUCGGGAUAACGCACUAACAUGGGGGCUAAUACCGGAUAACGUCUUCGGGCCAAAGAUUUAUCGCCUUUGGAUGGGCCCGCGUUGGAUUAGCUAGUUGGUAGGGUAAGAGCUUACCAAGGCGACGAUGCAUAGCUGGUCUGAGAGGAUGAUCAGCCACACUGGGACUGAGACACGGCCCAGACUCCGACGGGAGGCAGAAGUGGGGAAUAUUGGACAAUGGGCGAAAGCCUGAUCCAGCAAUGCUGCGUGAGUGAUGCAGGCCUUAGGGUUGUAAAGCUCUUUUACCCGGGAUGAGAAUGACAGUACCGGGAGAAUAAGCUCCGGCUAACUCCGUG
RNAcentral lists this ribosomal RNA (433 nucleotides) under uncultured bacterium. RNAcentral describes it as "partial 16S ribosomal RNA". It matches the Rfam family "Bacterial small subunit ribosomal RNA", at positions 29 to 507 of the family's 1533-position model. The record is from RNAcentral.